This 253-nucleotide ribosomal RNA is filed under the name uncultured bacterium. Its description in RNAcentral is "partial 16S ribosomal RNA". It matches the Rfam family "Bacterial small subunit ribosomal RNA", at positions 524 to 776 of the family's 1533-position model. The record is from RNAcentral.
UACGGAGGGAGCUAGCGUUGUUCGGAAUUACUGGGCGUAAAGCGCACGUAGGCGGCUUUGUAAGUUAGAGGUGAAAGCCCGGGGCUCAACCCCGGAAUUGCCUUUAAGACUGCAUCGCUCGAAUCCGGGAGAGGUGAGUGGAAUUCCGAGUGUAGAGGUGAAAUUCGUAGAUAUUCGGGAGAACACCAGUGGCGAAGGCGGCUCACUGGACCGGUAUUGACGCUGAGGCGCGAAAGCCAGGGGAGCAAACGGG